This 348-nucleotide ribosomal RNA is filed under the name uncultured bacterium. RNAcentral's name for it is "partial 16S ribosomal RNA". It matches the Rfam family "Bacterial small subunit ribosomal RNA", at positions 338 to 684 of the family's 1533-position model. The record is from RNAcentral.
CCUACGGGAGGCAGCAGUGAGGAAUAUUGGUCAAUGGUCGGAAGGCUGAACCAGCCAAGCCGCGGGAAGGAUGAAGGUGCCAAGCAUUGUAAACCUCUUUUGUCAAGGGACAAAACCAGGCACGCGUGCCUGCCCGCGGGUACUUGAAGAACAAGCAUCGGCUAACUCUGUGCCAGCAGCCGCGGUAAUACGGAGGAUGCGAGCGUUAUCCGGAUUUAGUGGGUGUAAAGGGUGCGUAGGCGGACGGCCAAGUCAGCGGUAAAAUCGCGGGGCUCAACCUCGCUCCGCCGUGGAAACUGGCGUUCUUGAGUGGGCGAGUAGUAUGCGGAAUGCGCGGUGUAGAGGUGA